UUCGCAGGGCCAGAAACGAGCUAGGUGUGGUGGGUAGGUCGCAAGCUAGUGCUCGCCAGGCGUCUGUAAGCAUAUGGGGGUUCUGGAUAGGGGUCACCGCGAGGUGGGUUCGUAGGGAUCUAAAGCUUGAAAUUAAUGUGCUUGGUCUUUGAUGGUGUGUUUAGAGAAGCCUGUGUCUAGGAUUAUUUUUAUAAUGAUUUAUGUUGCAAAUAUGUGGUGUGCAUGGUUGGUCGGUCUGUUUUAUGAUGUUUUAAUAGAGAGUCACUUCGGUGGCUGAUGUGAUGUUCGAAAUUUGAGUCGGACCGUCCCGACUAGGUUUGGGGUGCCACAAUAAUUAUAUGAAAUAUCAAGAUACUCUAAUUACGCUAGGUUUCCUAAAGACGGAGGUAACUCACCGGAUAAACCACAUCUAGGCAAGUCAAGGUACUCCAAUACGAAUAGAUCACUUAUUUGAUGCUGGAUAUUUCCAGGAAAUUGACGACCACUAAGAUCAAGAAGGACAAGAUUUGGAAAAAUCUAUCUCUGACCUAGAUAAUAAACUCAUAAUAUCAGUUAAUUUUGAAGAUGCUUCCAGCAUUGUUGCAUGAUAUGCUUGGCCACUUGUAACGUUGUGAAGCAUUGUUGCUCUAGGUACUCCAGCACUCAUUAUCUACCACAUCUAUCGCUUCGGAGUCCAAUGGCGACAGAUCGGCUAUUGACACAAUUGCAACAAAGGAAAUUUGAAGGAUGGU
RNAcentral lists this long non-coding RNA (731 nucleotides) under Gossypium barbadense (sea-island cotton). Its description in RNAcentral is "long non-coding RNA (GBAR_LNC007895)". Lineage: Eukaryota; Viridiplantae; Streptophyta; Magnoliopsida; Malvales; Malvaceae. The record is from RNAcentral.